UACGUAGGGUGCAAGCGUUAAUCGGAAUUACUGGGCGUAAAGCGUGCGCAGGCGGUUAUGCAAGACAGAGGUGAAAUCCCCGGGCUCAACCUGGGAACUGCCUUUGUGACUGCAUGGCUAGAGUACGGUAGAGGGGGAUGGAAUUCCGCGUGUAGCAGUGAAAUGCGUAGAUAUGCGGAGGAACACCGAUGGCGAAGGCAAUCCCCUGGACCUGUACUGACGCUCAUGCACGAAAGCGUGGGGAGCAAA
This 249-nucleotide ribosomal RNA is filed under the name uncultured Burkholderiales bacterium. RNAcentral describes it as "partial 16S ribosomal RNA". It matches the Rfam family "Bacterial small subunit ribosomal RNA", at positions 524 to 772 of the family's 1533-position model. The record is from RNAcentral. Lineage: Bacteria; Pseudomonadati; Pseudomonadota; Betaproteobacteria; Burkholderiales.